RNAcentral lists this ribosomal RNA (503 nucleotides) under uncultured bacterium. Its description in RNAcentral is "partial 16S ribosomal RNA". It matches the Rfam family "Bacterial small subunit ribosomal RNA", at positions 30 to 523 of the family's 1533-position model. The record is from RNAcentral.
AUUGAACGCUGGCGGCAGGCUUAACACAUGCAAGUCGAGCGGGGUGAUGGUGCUUGCACUAUCACUUAGCGGCGGACGGGUGAGUAAUGCUUAGGAAUCUGCCUGUUAGUGGGGGACAACAUCUCGAAAGGGAUGCUAAUACCGCAUACGUCCUACGGGAGAAAGCAGGGGAUCACUUGUGACCUUGCGCUAAUAGAUGAGCCUAAGUCGGAUUAGCUAGUUGGUGGGGUAAAGGCCUACCAAGGCGACGAUCUGUAGCGGGUCUGAGAGGAUGAUCCGCCACACUGGGACUGAGACACGGCCCAGACUCCUACGGGAGGCAGCAGUGGGGAAUAUUGGACAAUGGGGGGAACCCUGAUCUAGCCAUGCCGCGUGUGUGAAGAAGGCCUUAUGGUUGUAAAGCACUUUAAGCGAGGAGGAGGCUCUUUUGGUUAAUACCCAAGAUGAGUGGACGUUACUCGCAGAAUAAGCACCGGCUAACUCUGUGCCAGCCGCCGCGGUAA